GCUUAUUGUUUUUAUUGUUUUCUCUUUAAGCAACCCGGAAGGGCUGAGCACUUUGGUUAUGAAGUCUUCACCAAAGAAGGAUUUACAGAUUGGAAGCAUGCAUCUAAAGGCUUCAAAGAUCAUAUUGGUGGUCAUGGUAGUAAGCAAAACUCUUGCGUCAAGCAUUAUGAUGAUUAUAAUAAUCAAAGACAAAGUGUCGCAAGUAACUUUGCUAGGUCAAGCAAGGAAUCAGAAGAAAUGUAUAAGAUUCGUUUAACUUGUUUUGUAAGUUGUUCAAGAUAUCUCAUUGCCCAAGGCUUGGCAUUCCGCAGACAUGAUGAAUCAGCUACUUCUCUAAACAAGGGAAACUUUAGAGAGAUGAUAGAUUUGGAAAAAACUAAGAAUGAACAAGUCAGAGAUGCUUUUAACCGUGGUGGCAGAAAUUGCACAAUGACAUCUGGUGACAUUCAAAAGGAGCUUGCAAUGUGUUGUGCACAUGAAGUUAGAAAGAAGAUCAUGGCAGAGCUUGGUGACAAACAAUUCUCGGUGCUUAUUGAUGAAUCACGUGAUAUAUCUGUGAAAGAGCAAAUGGCUGUGAUGUUGAGGUUAGUAGUUUCACUUUUAUUUUUCUGUUUGUUUGUCAUUUAUUCUCUAUGCAACCAAUUUAUUUGGUGA
RNAcentral lists this ribosomal RNA (654 nucleotides) under Triticum aestivum (bread wheat). Its description in RNAcentral is "partial small subunit ribosomal RNA". The record is from RNAcentral. Lineage: Eukaryota; Viridiplantae; Streptophyta; Magnoliopsida; Poales; Poaceae.